AGUUCAGUAUUUUCUGUAGAGAAGGCUGUUCAGAGAGAGAAAGCAAAUCAUAUUCAAACAAAAUCUUGAAUACGCUGUUCAGUUUGAAGUCAGGACCCAUUUCAGCCCCAGAGCAGUUCCUGCAGCCUCUCCACAGAAACAAAGCACCGAACAAAGGCCAGUGUGGAAAAACAUACUCAACGGAAUCUCUGUGUUUAGAGAAACCCUAGGGGAUGGCAAAUGGCUCUCGAAGUUAGCUGGCUGAGCAUGUGAGCAGUCCGUGCGAGCAAGAUCAUUGUUGUCUCCAGCAGUUAAGAGCACCAGUUGCAGGAAUUUCAUCAGGGGCAUACAAGUCGUGGAUUUGACUGGGACAAUUUCUUGUACAUUUCCAUUGUUUUGAAUAAGAGGAGGAAGCUGUGCUGUGAAGGAUCCUUUUUCAUCAUGAUUAUUGCAUCCACAGAAGCAGUGAUAAAUUCUAAUAGAUAAUGCAACUCAGUCUACUUGGAUGGUCACACCUGAGACUGGAGAAGACCUGCUGCCUUCUGCUGAGCCACACAUUCCUCACAUGCUCCUUCACAAUGCUGCAAGCCAUAUUUAUUCAUUUAAAAGCUAGUUCCUCGCUGUUUCUUGUACAUCAAUUCUUUUAAAACUUUUACAAAACAAACUAAAUUUAAAGAGGAAAUUAUUUACUGAUGGAACUAAUGGCCUGAAAAUAGUUGCCCAAAAUAGCAUUGCACAUAGCAACAGGAAGUCGUUUAUAUACUAGGAAGUCUCUUUCAAAUGUGCUUGGAUAUUGCCAAAAUUCUCUGCCUUAUAAACUAAGGAGUCCUUUUUUUUAUUUUUUAGAGUCAACACAGCAAGAAUAGUCUUAUAUAGACUAUAAGCUCCUGGUACACUGCGUCUACACUGCUCACUGCAGUAUCCCAACAUCUAAGACCACGGUCUUAGAUGUCUGGUAUAGGACUGGUGCUCAGUACACAUUGAAUGAAUAAAUGAAUGAAUAUAGCAAAGCAUUCCAUGAUGUUCUCUUGAAUUCAUUUAUUCUUUGAAAUUUGGUUAAUUUUUUUGUGUUUUUGGUGCAGUGGUUGUGUACUACUAGGGGUAUGAUAUGGGUUCUUCAAUAAAUCUCUUCAAAUUAUAAUAAAGAUUUAGUGCUAACCUUCUGCUCACUGUCUCCCUCUAAGUACUACAGAUGGAUAUGAUUAGCAUGCAAUUUAUCAUCUUGAUGGAAUUCAUGUCUUACAGGCAUAUGGCUUUCAAAAUUGAAGUAUCUAGAUUUAUUUUAUUUUGUCAAAUAGAAAAUGGUUUCGCUCUAUUGAGAUUCCUACACUUAAAAAUUUAUAUAGACCUUAAAAAGAUCCUAGAGAAGAGUUUGAAAAGUAUAGUUAAGCAUUCUUCUAGCCACAUAGACUAUAGAAGAGAAUAAGUUUAAGGAAAUCAUCAAGUCAAGUCAAGAACAUAGUAAAAAUGGUAACGUACCACCUUUCAUGUAAGAUAAAACCAGAUAAGAUUUUAAAAAGAAGCGUUUAUGCUAUGCUUAGGAAGCCAAUCCUGUUGAAGAAACUGAUAUUGCAGCCAUAUCUGUCUGUGAGUAGUUGUAACAAUGCUGUAGGUAACAUUUCUGAGAGCAUGAUACAGUGCAGGGGGAAUCAGUCUGUGGUCUUGGGGUCCUCAGGGAAAGGGGUAUAUGAGGAGUUCUUCCAAAGUGGCCUCUAAAUCCACCUGAAUAGUAAACAGUGUCUGACAACUAAAUAAAUAAUUUCCAUGUGUACUUACUGCUGUGUUUUAAAUGGAUGCAAGGGCUGGAGUGAUAACUACAGUUUAAUUUGUGAAAAGAUUUAUAGAUUUUGUAGCACUUGCAGAUUUUAUGGACUUUCUCUGCAAUUAAAUAUUGAUAGUUCA
Molecule: long non-coding RNA, 1881 nt
Organism: Symphalangus syndactylus (siamang)
Lineage: Eukaryota; Metazoa; Chordata; Mammalia; Primates; Hylobatidae
Source: RefSeq, a predicted model, not a curated record